RNAcentral lists this ribosomal RNA (480 nucleotides) under uncultured bacterium. RNAcentral describes it as "bacterial SSU rRNA". It matches the Rfam family "Bacterial small subunit ribosomal RNA", at positions 31 to 507 of the family's 1533-position model. The record is from RNAcentral.
GAACGCUGGCGGCAGGCCUAACACAUGCAAGUCGAGCGGUAGAGAGGUGCUUGCAUCUCUUGAGAGCGGCGGACGGGUGAGUAAUGCCUAGGAAUCUGCCUAGUGGUGGGGGAUAACGUUCGGAAACGGACGCUAAUACCGCAUACGUCCUACGGGAGAAAGCGGGGGAUCUUCGGACCUCGCGCCAUUAGAUGAGCCUAGGUCGGAUUAGCUAGUUGGUGAGGUAAUGGCUCACCAAGGCGACGAUCCGUAACUGGUCUGAGAGGAUGAUCAGUCACACUGGAACUGAGACACGGUCCAGACUCCUACGGGAGGCAGCAGUGGGGAAUAUUGGACAAUGGGCGAAAGCUGAUCCAGCCAUGCCGCGUGUGUGAAGAAGGUCUUCGGAUUGUAAAGCACUUUAAGUUGGGAGGAAGGGCAGUAAGUUAAUACCUUGCUGUUUUGACGUUACCAACAGAAUAAGCACCGGCUAACUUCGUG